RNAcentral lists this ribosomal RNA (423 nucleotides) under Bacillus velezensis. RNAcentral's name for it is "bacterial SSU rRNA". It matches the Rfam family "Bacterial small subunit ribosomal RNA", at positions 66 to 507 of the family's 1533-position model. The record is from RNAcentral. Lineage: Bacteria; Bacillati; Bacillota; Bacilli; Caryophanales; Bacillaceae.
ACGAUGAGCCUUUCGGGGUGGAUUAGUGGCGAACGGGUGAGUAACACGUGGGCAAUCUGCCCUUCACUCUGGGACAAGCCCUGGAAACGGGGUCUAAUACCGGAUAACACUCUGUCCCGCAUGGGACGGGGUUAAAAGCUCCGGCGGUGAAGGAUGAGCCCGCGGCCUAUCAGCUUGUUGGUGGGGUGAUGGCCUACCAAGGCGACGACGGGUAGCCGGCCUGAGAGGGCGACCGGCCACACUGGGACUGAGACACGGCCCAGACUCCUACGGGAGGCAGCAGUGGGGAAUAUUGCACAAUGGGCGAAAGCCUGAUGCAGCGACGCCGCGUGAGGGAUGACGGCCUUCGGGUUGUAAACCUCUUUCAGCAGGGAAGAAGCGAAAGUGACGGUACCUGCAGAAGAAGCGCCGGCUAACUACGUG